AAAAAAGGUAAGCUACUAAGAGCGAAUGGUGGAUGCCUUGACUGGUAAAGGCGAUGAAGGACGUACUAGACUGCGAUAAGCUACGGGGAGCUGUCAAGAAGCUUUGAUCCGUAGAUUUCCGAAUGGGGCAACCCAAUGUAUAGAGAUAUACAUUACCUAUAUAGGAGCGAACGAGGGGAAUUGAAACAUCUUAGUACCCUCAGGAAAAGAAAUCAAUAGAGAUUGCGUCAGUAGCGGCGAGCGAAAGCGCAAGAGGGCAAACCCAGUGCUUGCACUGGGGGUUGUAGGACUGCAAUGUGCAAGAGGUGAGUUUAGCAGAACAUUCUGGAAAGUAUAGCCAUAGAGGGUGAUAGUCCCGUAUGCGAAAAACAAACCUUAGCUAGCAGUAUCCUGAGUAGGGCGGGACACGAGAAAUCCUGUCUGAAGCUGGGUCGACCACGAUCCAACCCUAAAUACUAAUACCAGAUCGAUAGUGCACAAGUACCGUGAGGGAAAGGUGAAAAGAACUGAGGUGAUCAGAGUGAAAUAGAACCUGAAACCAUUUGCUUACAAUCAUUCAGAGCCCUAUGUAGCAAUACAGGGUGAUGGACUGCCUUUUGCAUAAUGAGCCUGCGAGUUGUGGUGUCUGGCAAGGUUAAGCAAACGUGAAGCCGUAGCGAAAGCGAGUCUGAAUAGGGCGCUUAGUCAGAUGCUGCAGACCCGAAACGAAGUGAUCUAUCCAUGAGCAAGUUGAAGCUAGUGUAAGAACUAGUGGAGGACUGAACCCAUAGGCGUUGAAAAGCCCCGGGAUGACUUGUGGAUAGGGGUGAAAGGCCAAUCAAACUUCGUGAUAGCUGGUUCUCUCCGAAAUAUAUUUAGGUAUAGCGUUGUGUCGUAAUAUAAGGGGGUAGAGCACUGAAUGGGCUAGGGCAUACACCAAUGUACCAAACCCUAUCAAACUCCGAAUACCUUAUAUGUAAUCACAGCAGUCAGGCGGCGAGUGAUAAAAUCCGUCGUCAAGAGGGAAACAACCCAGACUACCAGCUAAGGUCCCUAAAUCUUACUUAAGUGGAAAACGAUGUGAAGUUACUUAAACAACCAGGAGGUUGGCUUAGAAGCAGCCAUCCUUUAAAGAAAGCGUAAUAGCUCACUGGUCUAGUGAUUUUGCGCGGAAAAUAUAACGGGGCUAAAGUAAGUACCGAAGCUGUAGACUUGAUUUUAUCAAGUGGUAGGAGAGCGUUCUAUUUGCGUCGAAGGUAUACCGGUAAGGAGUGCUGGAGCGAAUAGAAGUGAGCAUGCAGGCAUGAGUAGCGAUAAUUAAUGUGAGAAUCAUUAACGCCGUAAACCCAAGGUUUCCUACGCGAUGCUCGUCAUCGUAGGGUUAGUCGGGUCCUAAGUCGAGUCCGAAAGGGGUAGACGAUGGCAAAUUGGUUAAUAUUCCAAUACCAACAUUAGUGUGCGAUGGAAGGACGCUUAGGGCUAAGGGGGCUAGCGGAUGGAAGUGCUAGUCUAAGGUCGUAGGAGGUUAUACAGGCAAAUCCGUAUAACAAUACUCCGAGAACUGAAAGGCUUUUUGAAGUCUUCGGAUGGAUAGAAGAACCCCUGAUGCCAUCGAGCCAAGAAAAGUUUCUAAGUUUAGCUAAUGUUGCCCGUACCGUAAACCGACACAGGUGGGUGGGAUGAGUAUUCUAAGGCGCGUGGAAGAACUCUCUUUAAGGAACUCUGCAAAAUAGCACCGUAUCUUCGGUAUAAGGUGUGGUUCGCUUCGUAUUAGGAUUUACUCCGAAAGCGAAGAAACUUACAACAAAGAGUCCCUCCCGACUGUUUACCAAAAACACAGCACUCUGCUAACUCGUAAGAGGAUGUAUAGGGUGUGACGCCUGCCCGGUGCUCGAAGGUUAAUUGAUGGGGUUAGCAUUAGCGAAGCUCUUGAUCGAAGCCCGAGUAAACGGCGGCCGUAACUAUAACGGUCCUAAGGUAGCGAAAUUCCUUGUCGGUUAAAUACCGACCUGCAUGAAUGGCGUAACGAGAUGGGAGCUGUCUCAAAGAGGGAUCCAGUGAAAUUGUAGUGGAGGUGAAAAUUCCUCCUACCCGCGGCAAGACGGAAAGACCCCGUGGACCUUUACUACAGCUUGACACUGCUAUUUGGAUAAGAAUGUGCAGGAUAGGUGGGAGGCUUUGAGUAUAUGACGCCAGUUGUAUAUGAGCCAUUGUUGAGAUACCACUCUUUCUUAUUUGGGUAGCUAACCAGCUUGAGUUAUCCUCAAGUGGGACAAUGUCUGGUGGGUAGUUUGACUGGGGCGGUCGCCUCCCAAAUAAUAACGGAGGCUUACAAAGGUUGGCUCAGAACGGUUGGAAAUCGUUCGUAGAGUAUAAAGGUAUAAGCCAGCUUAACUGCAAGACAUACAAGUCAAGCAGAGACGAAAGUCGGUCUUAGUGAUCCGGUGGUUCUGUGUGGAAGGGCCAUCGCUCAAAGGAUAAAAGGUACCCCGGGGAUAACAGGCUGAUCUCCCCCAAGAGCUCACAUCGACGGGGAGGUUUGGCACCUCGAUGUCGGCUCAUCGCAUCCUGGGGCUGGAGCAGGUCCCAAGGGUAUGGCUGUUCGCCAUUUAAAGCGGUACGCGAGCUGGGUUCAGAACGUCGUGAGACAGUUCGGUCCCUAUCUGCCGUGGGCGUAAGAAGAUUGAAGAGAUUUGACCCUAGUACGAGAGGACCGGGUUGAACAAACCACUGGUGUAGCUGUUGUUCUGCCAAGAGCAUCGCAGCGUAGCUAAGUUUGGAAAGGAUAAACGCUGAAAGCAUCUAAGCGUGAAGCCAACUCUAAGAUGAAUCUUCUCUAAGCUCUCUAGAAGACUACUAGUUUGAUAGGCUGGGUGUGUAAUGGAUGAAAGUCCUUUAGCUGACCAGUACUAAUAGAGCGUUUGGCUUAUCUUUAAUAAAGCAU
RNAcentral lists this ribosomal RNA (2923 nucleotides) under Campylobacter coli. RNAcentral describes it as "23S ribosomal RNA". It matches the Rfam family "Bacterial large subunit ribosomal RNA". Lineage: Bacteria; Pseudomonadati; Campylobacterota; Epsilonproteobacteria; Campylobacterales; Campylobacteraceae. The record is from RNAcentral.